This 305-nucleotide unclassified non-coding RNA is filed under the name uncultured fungus. RNAcentral describes it as "partial contains small subunit ribosomal RNA, internal transcribed spacer 1, and 5.8S ribosomal RNA". The stretch from base 1 to 73 matches the Rfam family "Eukaryotic small subunit ribosomal RNA", at positions 1759 to 1831 of the family's 1831-position model. The record is from RNAcentral. Lineage: Eukaryota; Fungi.
UCAAACUUGGUCAUUUAGAGGAAGUAAAAGUCGUAACAAGGUUUCCGUAGGUGAACCUGCGGAAGGAUCAUUACCAAUUCAUGUCUCCCAGCCGAAAGGCUGGUGCAGGCGCUCAACCCUUUGUGAACCAAAAAACCUUUCGCUUCGGCAGCAGCUCGGUUGGCAACAGCCCAGCGUCAGCCUGCCGGUAGCACCAACCUCAAAAACUUGCAGUUAAGAACAUUGUCUGAUUACCAAGUUUUCGAAUGAAAAUCAAAACUUUCAACAACGGAUCUCUUGGUUCCCGCAUCGAUGAAGAACGCAGC